Molecule: ribosomal RNA, 574 nt
Filed under: Saccharomyces cerevisiae (brewer's yeast)
Lineage: Eukaryota; Fungi; Ascomycota; Saccharomycetes; Saccharomycetales; Saccharomycetaceae
Description: eukaryotic LSU rRNA
Rfam family: Eukaryotic large subunit ribosomal RNA
Source: RNAcentral
UUAGUAACGGCGAGUGAAGCGGCAAAAGCUCAAAUUUGAAAUCUGGUACCUUCGGUGCCCGAGUUGUAAUUUGGAGAGGGCAACUUUGGGGCCGUUCCUUGUCUAUGUUCCUUGGAACAGGACGUCAUAGAGGGUGAGAAUCCCGUGUGGCGAGGAGUGCGGUUCUUUGUAAAGUGCCUUCGAAGAGUCGAGUUGUUUGGGAAUGCAGCUCUAAGUGGGUGGUAAAUUCCAUCUAAAGCUAAAUAUUGGCGAGAGACCGAUAGCGAACAAGUACAGUGAUGGAAAGAUGAAAAGAACUUUGAAAAGAGAGUGAAAAAGUACGUGAAAUUGUUGAAAGGGAAGGGCAUUUGAUCAGACAUGGUGUUUUGUGCCCUCUGCUCCUUGUGGGUAGGGGAAUCUCGCAUUUCACUGGGCCAGCAUCAGUUUUGGUGGCAGGAUAAAUCCAUAGGAAUGUAGCUUGCCUCGGUAAGUAUUAUAGCCUGUGGGAAUACUGCCAGCUGGGACUGAGGACUGCGACGUAAGUCAAGGAUGCUGGCAUAAUGGUUAUAUGCCGCCCGUCUUGAAACACGGACAA